This 229-nucleotide long non-coding RNA is filed under the name Capsicum annuum. Its description in RNAcentral is "long non-coding RNA (CANN_LNC003383)". The record is from RNAcentral. Lineage: Eukaryota; Viridiplantae; Streptophyta; Magnoliopsida; Solanales; Solanaceae.
UCCUUUUGGACUUGAAUGUCUCACAGACGCCCUUAGUGCAUUUGACUUUCUUCUUUCCAAGUUUGGGAUCGUACGGGGGUGGAGAAAUUUUGGUGUCUACCAAUUCCUGUGGCACAGUCCAUUCAGCCUCCGGAGGGACCAAUUAAUUGCUUUCGAAUAUGCGAGGAGGUAACUUUCAGCUUUAUAAAUUGGCGAAGAGUAUUCGUAGAUGGAGUUACUAUAAUCUUUG